AGUGAACGCUGGCGGUAUGCCUAACACAUGCAAGUCGAACGGCAGCACAGUAAGAUCUUGCUCUUACCGGUGGCGAGUGGCGGACGGGUGAGGAAUACAUCGGAAUCUACUUUUUCGUGGGGGAUAACGUAGGGAAACUUACGCUAAUACCGCAUACGACCUACGGCUGAAAGCAGGAGAUCUUCGCACCUUGCGCGAUUGAAUGAGCCGAUGUCGGAUUAGCUAGUUGGCGAGGUAAAGGCCCACCAAGGCAACGAUGCGUAGCUGGUCUGAGAGGAUGAUCGGCCACACUGGAACUGAGACACGGUCCAGACUCCUACGGGAGGCAGCAGUAGGGAAUCUUCCGCAAUGGGCGAAAGCCUGACGGAGCAACACCGCGUGAGUGAUGAAGGCCUUCGGAUCGUAAAGCUCUUUUAUUGGGGAAGAAAAAAUGCGGAAUUAACCACGGACGUCCUGACGGUACCUAAUCAGAAAGCAACGGCUAACUUCGUG
Molecule: ribosomal RNA, 492 nt
Filed under: uncultured bacterium
Lineage: Bacteria
Description: partial 16S ribosomal RNA
Rfam family: Bacterial small subunit ribosomal RNA
Source: RNAcentral